GGAAUAUUGGACAAUGGGGGCAACCCUGAUCCAGCCAUGCCGCGUGCGGGACUAAGGCCCUAUGGGUCGUAAACCGCUUUUGUUGGGGAGCAAUAAGGCGUACGUGUACGCCGAUGAGAGUACCUGGCGAAUAAGCAUCGGCUAACUCCGUGCCAGCAGCCGCGGUAAUACGGAGGAUGCGAGCGUUAUCCGGAUUUAUUGGGUUUAAAGGGUGCGCAGGCGGAACUGUAAGUCAGUGGUGAAAUACCCGCGCUCAACGUGGGCCGUGCCAUUGAUACUGCGAUUCUGGAGUACUGUUGCCGUGGGAGGAAUGGGUAGUGUAGCGGUGAAAUGCAUAGAUAUUACCCAGAACACCGAUUGCGAAGGCAUCUCACGAAGCAGUCACUGACGCUGAGGCACGAAAGCGUGGGGAUCGAACA
Molecule: ribosomal RNA, 419 nt
Filed under: uncultured bacterium
Lineage: Bacteria
Description: bacterial SSU rRNA
Rfam family: Bacterial small subunit ribosomal RNA
Source: RNAcentral